RNAcentral lists this long non-coding RNA (5104 nucleotides) under Equus caballus (horse). Its description in RNAcentral is "lncRNA (ENSECAG00000049791.1)". Lineage: Eukaryota; Metazoa; Chordata; Mammalia; Perissodactyla; Equidae. The record is from RNAcentral.
UUACCAAGGCUUUGACUGGAAUGUCAUAGUUGAGAGAGAGAUGCAUAGAUUCAGACAUGACCAGACAGCUGUAAGGAACUGCCUGAAACUUGGCUCGGCUUCCUGGCCUCAGAGGCUUUGAAAGAGUCAAAUCUGAGAUUCCUUAUAAAAAGUUCCAGCAAAGCAGUCUUAAAAGAGCUUAUGUGGUCAAUCACCAUUCUUGCUACACUCAUGUAAAUAAUCAGGCCAAGUUUAAUACAAACAAAUUAGUUUUACUCUGAUUAUCUUUGGUAAAAAAUGGGGUAAUUGUAGAGAGAAAAAUUAUGUUUGCACCUUUGUAGAUAUUUAGAUUCUAACCCUGUUAAUUGUCUUUGAGGUUUUGUUAUAUACCUGUAAACUGAACUGGAUCCUAAAUUCUUCUAAUUUUCUCAAAUAUCUGGCUACCACUCUCCAACCGAAUGUUUCCUAUUGCCUCCCAUCCUUCUGAUUUGGAAUCACUGAGACCAAAGACUGUCCUUGAAUCUCCUUGGAAAGGAAUAUACUAGGUCUUCCUCCCGACCCAGAUGGCAGCCAAACCUCCAGGACUUAAACCUUGGCUACACAUCUCACAGUGGAAGAAAGCUCCUCCUGACCUCUGGUCCUUUACAAACACUGAAGACCUCUGAAUCAAACUGAUGAGCAGGAGAAGCAGCUGACAUUGACGUAGACUGCUUCCACCCAAGACACCAGAUCAAGAUUUCCCAUUUUAACUAAACAUGAAACACUGUCUUCCUCUCUUCUUUCCUUUACUCUGGCAUUGGCCUGGCAAGAUAAUGCCACCAUCAUAUCUCCCAAGCCAUUACUAAGGGAGAGCAACCUUUCAGACAGCUGGAUUCAUCAUCAAAAACUCCAAUCUGUUCAUGAUGCUGGAACCCAUGAACAAUGCCACCUGAGCAGUAAUGGUUUACGCCCCAACAGGAUUUAAUUUCAUCGGUGGUGGUGAUCAUUCUCCUUGGACCUAUAAAUGCUUAGAUGGCUAACACAUAACUGGGCAAUGCCCCUUAGGUUAUCUAACUGUGCCACUCAACUGUUCUCAAAUAGGCUAAGACACUUCAUUGGUCAACUCCCCUAAUCAUCCAAUUCGAAAAGACCUGCCAGGAGGCCUUCAUGAUUCAGGAUGUGCUUCUUUCGGCAGGUCCCUACUUCCUUUGUUAGGAGUGAGUACAAAUGAGGCUGUGAUCAGAAAUCCCUCCUUAACUCUUGAAAGUAUUGCAGAAUUCGCUGCUAAAGCAAUAGCUGCCCAAUGAAAAUCUCUAGACUCUCAGCUCAAAGUAGUUCUUGAUAAUAUGACAGCCCUUGAUCAUUUGUUAGCUGAGCAAGGAUGUGUCUGUGCUGUGGCCACCACCGCUGCACCUGGAUUAACACUUCUGGGGAAGCUGAAAUUUAGUUACAUAAAAUCACUGAGUGCGCCACUUGGCUUAAAAAGGUGACUCCUUCAACAGAGUAUUUCUUUCACUUAUUGGAUUUUGAUUGGUUUGGGUCUUGGGGACCAUGGCUCUGAAGUGCACUCCAGACAUGGGAAUUAUCCUACCAGUAACAGUCAUAGUAAUCUCCCUGAUGCACUGUAUUCUCUCAAAAGCUUUAAAUGCGUGUUUGCAGCUGCUAACCAUCAAGCAAAUGAAUGUGAAGUCGUGACCUGUGAAUACCACAGGAUUCAGCAGAAAACCUCAUGACCUGUGACUAUAACACGGAGAAACAGUAAAAGCUGCGAGACCAACAGAGCGGUAGCUGAGAGUGGCACUAAUGCCUUAAAUUUUGAUCACAUCUUUCAAGUUAUGCUAAGAGUCUCAUGCAAAGGGGGAGAACUGUUAAAAAAGAAAAAACAGGAACAAAAUGGUGUCACUUGUGCUAAGUCCCACAUCAAUAAAUCAAGACUUAAUUGCACUUUCAGUCUCUCACAGGAAUGUGACCUUUAACUAGUCAAUCUGGAAUUACCUGGUCGGCAUGAGUGAGUAAUCUGCCUCAUAGAUCCCCACACUACUCUUCCCCAAAGGAAGGUGAUCUUGCCCGAAUCUGCUCUUUGCUAGAAACUUCCUUUAUUCCGUCCCUUCUGCCCAUAACAGCCUUCCACUUUGCAUAGCUCCUUGGACCUCCCUUCUAUUUGCUAGCUGGGAUGCUGCUCAAUUCAUGAAUUGUUGGAUAGAGCCAAUUCGAUCUUCAAAUUUACUCAGUUGGCUUUUGCUUUAAACACCUUAGCAUCAUCAUCCUCUGAAAAUAAUGCUAAUUUUGUCUUUUUUCUAUUACUAUAUUUCUUUCUUUCUCUUAUCUGGGGGACAAAGAGAUUAAUUAGAACACUAAGGUUCCUUAGAGGAUGUAAGACUUCGGUGAAUCUUGCAGGAAUAGCAGCAAUUGGACUGGCUAAGAGGGGAGGAUGACAGAAAUAUAGCCACGCAUUGCUCAAUGAUGGGGAUACAUUCUGAGAAAUGUGUUAGGCAGUUUCAUCAUUGAGCGUACUUACACAAUUCAUCAUAGAGUGUACUCACACAAACCUAGAUGGUAUAGACUACUACACACCUAGGCUAUAUGGUACUAAUCUUACGGGACCACCCUCCUAUAUGCCCUCCGUCCUUGACCCAAACGCUGUUAUGCUGUGCAUGUCUCUAGAUAAAAUUGAGCUGUCCUACUCCCAACUAACGGAAGUCAGUUGAUAGAACCGCUGGUGGCACCUGGAACUCUACAUAUUACAUCACAGAAAAACUCAGACUAGUAGUGUCUUGGAACAUGUUUUGUUCAUAGUAAGUGUGAAAAUAAAGGAAAACCUCUUUUAAAAUGGAGUCAUGAAACCCUGAAGGGGGACCUCUCACGUACAUACCACUCACUGCUGCCUGCCUAACUGGCAGGAAGAUGGACGAUAAGAAUUAUUUUAACCAGGCCUAUUUGUAUAAAAUUCUCUCAGUCCCAACUUCUUAUCCGUGAUGAUAAGAAUGUAACUUUUCUGCUGGUGCAACGGAGGACAUCUUCACCUAGGAAUUUCAUCUCCUGCUUUUAAGAAAAGGAAGGAAGAUCCGUCCCUGCCGCAGCGACAACGCAUUGUCACAACCUUACACUCUUGUUCUUCUCCAAUGAACUUUUAUUCUAAAUAACCCUCCUUAAUUUCCUCCUAACACCUAAUAAAAACUAACUUUCCCCUUGUCUCUUCCAACUUGCCUAUGGUUCACCAUAGUUUGCACGUCCAGAAUUGCAAUUCCUCGGCUAUUCCCAAAUAAACUCAUUUUUUGAGCUUGCCCCCCAGACAGCUUCAUUUAGGUUGACAUAACAGCUAAAGAUAGUUUUAGUCUCUAUUAACAUCACAACCAAAUACUUAAAUCACAACCAAGUACUUAAAAGCCUGACAUAAUUGUAGACUCAUAAGUGAAAUGUCACAUUAUCAUUUUCAAUAAAUCAGCAUCAAUUUAACAUUUCGGAGAGCCCCCCAAAUUCUCAGCACUCAAAUCCAAGACAAGAAAGAUAAAAAACAGUACGACUGCAUUCUGGUUAUCCUAUGAAUUAAAGUGGAGUGAGUGUGAGUGAGUGUGUGUGUGUGUGUGUGUGUGUGUGUUUUAAAGCCUUUUGUUCACCAGCUUCUUUCCCUAUCUUACACUGUACUCCCUAAGGACUGUGUAUAUCAUUUAACUUUCUCCAUUGAACGAUAAACUUCAGAAGCUGAAGUUUAAAGGAGGAGGGGAGUCGACUCCAAAACUGCACACUGGUGUAGCCCCAAACGGAAAUACAGCGAAAGCUCGAGCGACCUCUCCCAGCGCAAACGAGUCCACCCCAGCUUCAGGAAACGAAGGAGUAUGUGGGGUUGCGGAUGACUGGCUUUGGGGCUCAUUCUUUUCACUACAGCGCCCCAGGAGCGGAAGGCAAGCCCAGGCUCCAGGGACCACGCAGUCCCGCUGGGGCUGAGAGCGUCUCCCCCAGGGUGUCCCGGACGCCCGGCAGGAAAGAGCGCCGCCGGGCCGCCGACACCUGAGCGCGCGCCCGGUGGGGCGGGCCGGGAGCCCUCUCUCCCUUCCGCCUGCGACGCGCGUUGUCGGUCGAGCCGGUGUAUGUGCGGUAAUAACAUGUCUGCCCCGCUUCCCGCCAUCAUCCCCGCCGCCCGGAAGGCCACUGCUGCGGUGAUUUUCCUUCAUGGAUUGGGAGAUACAGGCUCCUGAACACUCGGGUCCAGCCAAACCCACCUCCAUCAACGUGCCAGGGACAGGCUGCAUUGCAUUCCUAAGGGUAAGUCUGUUAACUCUACCUUCCCCCACUAGGAAAAUGCCUGUGGCGAUUCAGAAUGAGUCCACAAAUUCUCUGACACUCCCUUCAAAAGGUGGAGCCUAAUUCCCUCCCCUUGGUGUGGGCUGGCCUUGGUGACCAAGUGCUUGCAAGGGACAGAAAACAGUGGCAGUGAGGGUUUUCGGCUCUGGAGACACAGUCACAGAGGUGCCGGUAUCCUGCUUGCCCCCUCUCUUGAUCACUCCGCCCAAGGAAGUGGGGGACCUGUCGCAAGAACACUUCUGCAGCCUGUGCACAUGGAGGCCCAGGGGGCAAGGAACCGAAGCCUCCUACCAAGAGCCAAAGAGGAACUGGGGCCUCCUGCCAACAGCCAUGGGAGUGAGCUGCCUGGAGAGCAGCUCCUCCAGCCCCAGGCAAGCCUUCAGAUGAUUGCAGCCCCUACAAAAUCCUGACUGCAGCCACGACCAACUGGGUAAUGAGCCUACUCCACACCCUGACCCACAGAAACUGAGAGAAUAAUAAAUGCUUAUUUGCUUUAAGCCACUAAGUUCUGACAUAAUUUGUUACACAUCGAGUAGAUAACUAAUAUAAUGCCCUCUCUCUCCUUUGCACCUGAGCAAGAGUAGAUAGAGCUCAAGUUCACCCCUCGUUUGUAUAUAUUUUACAUAGAUUUCCUUUCCUAUACCCUCCAACCUUUAACAAGAAUGUUCUAUACUAUCACAAUAGUAUUAAGGUACACGGGAGGAGGUCCACGAAGUAUACUGGUUGAAGAGAAGAAUUCCCAUCAAACUUCUGAAAGAUUUCAAAACUUAAUAAACUGACAUUUACAUUUAUGCCUCUCCCACUACCAAAACCAGACUUGACACGGCUUACAAUGAAAAACUGG